RNAcentral lists this ribosomal RNA (495 nucleotides) under uncultured bacterium. RNAcentral's name for it is "partial 16S ribosomal RNA". It matches the Rfam family "Bacterial small subunit ribosomal RNA", at positions 28 to 507 of the family's 1533-position model. The record is from RNAcentral.
GACGAACGCUGGCGGCGUGCCUAAUACAUGCAAGUAGAACGCUGAAGGAGGAGCUUGCUUCUCUGUAUGAGUUGCGCACGUGUGAGUAACGCGUAGGUCACCUGCCUGGUAGCGGGGGAUAACUAUUGGAAACGAUAGCUACUACCUCAUAAGAGUAGAUGUCGCAUGACAUUUUCUUAACAGGUGCAAUUGCAUCACUACCAGAUGGACCUGCGUUGUAUUAGCUAGUUGGUGAGGUAACGGCUCACCAAGGCAACGAUACAUAGCCGACCUGAGAGGGUGAUCGGCCAAACUGGGACUGAGACACGGCCCAGACUCCUACGGGAGGCAGCAGUAGGGAAUAUUCGGCAAUGGACGGAAGUCUGAACGAGCAACGCCGCGUGAGGGAAGAAGGUUUUCGGAUCGUAAAGCUAUGUUGUAAGAGAAGAAAGAGUGGGAGAGUGGAAAGUUCACACUGUGACGGUAUCUUAACAGAAAGGGACGGCUAACUACGUG